RNAcentral lists this ribosomal RNA (2917 nucleotides) under human gut metagenome. RNAcentral's name for it is "bacterial LSU rRNA". It matches the Rfam family "Bacterial large subunit ribosomal RNA". The record is from RNAcentral.
UUAAAUUAUUAAGAGCGCAUGGCGAAUGCCUUGGCACUAGAAGCUGAUGAAGGACGUGACGAACAACGAUAUGCUUCGGGGAGCUGUAAGUAGCUUUGAUCCGGAGAUUUCCGAAUGGGGAAACCCACUGAUAGUAAUGUGUCAGUAUCAUACAGUGAAUUCAUAGCUGUAUGAGAUGAACCCGGUGAACUGAAACAUCUUAGUAGCCGGAGGAGUAGAAAGAAAAAUCGAUUCCCUUAGUAGUGGCGAGCGAAAGGGGAACAGCCCAAACCAAUCUUCGGAUUGGGGUUGUAGGACUUCUCAUUAAGAGUAAAAAAUUCAUAAUAUAGUUGAAGUAUCUGGAAAGAUACACCGUAGUAGGUGAUAGUCCUGUAAAUGAAAUAUUAUGAACUCUGAGGAGUAUCCUGAGUAGGGCGGGGCACGUGAAACCCUGUCUGAAUCUGCGGGGCCCAUCCCGUAAGGCUAAAUACUCUCUAGUGACCGAUAGUGAACAAGUACCGUGAGGGAAAGGUGAAAAGAACCCCGGGAGGGGAGUGAAAUAGAAUACUGAAACCAUGUGCUUACAAGAAGUCAAAGCCCGUUAAUGGGUGAUGGCGUGCCUUUUGCAGAAUGAACCGGCGAGUUAUUGUUGCAUGCAAGGUUAAGUUGAAGAGACGGAGCCGAAGCGAAAGCGAGUCUGAAUAGGGCGCUUUAGUAUGCAGUAAUAGACCCGAAACCGAGUGAUCUAUCCUUGAGCAGGUUGAAGUGGUGGUAACACACCAUGGAGGACCGAACCGACGUCUGUGAAAAAGGCGCGGAUGACUUGAGGAUAGCGGAGAAAUUCCAAUCGAACUCGGAGAUAGCUGGUUCUCCCCGAAAUAGGUUUAGGCCUAGCCUUCUAAUUAGUUACCUGGAGGUAGAGCACUGAAUGUAAGAUGGCGGCGUAUAGCUGUACUGAUUGCAAUCAAACUCCGAAUGCCAGGCUAAUAUGUAGAGGAGUCAGUGUAUGGGUGAUAACGUCCAUACGCGAGAGGAAAACAAUCCAGACCGCCAGUUAAGGUCCCAAAAUUUAUGCUAAGUGGGAAAGGAUGUGGAGUCGCUAGAACAGCUAGGAGGUUGGCUUAGAAGCAGCCAUCCUUUAAAGAGUGCGUAAUAGCUCACUAGUCGAGUGGCACUGCGCCGAAGAUGUACCGGGGCUAAAGCAUAAUACCGAAACUGCGGAUUACUUUGUAAUGGUAGGGGAGCGUUCUAAGUGCGCUGAAGGUUGAUCGUAAGGACAGCUGGAGCGCUUAGAAGUGAGAAUGCCGGUAUGAGUAGCGCAAGACGUGUGAGAAUCACGUCCACCGUUUGCCCAAGGUUUCCUGGGUCAAGUUCGUCUUCCCAGGGUUAGUCGGGUCCUAAGGCGAGGCCGAAAGGCGUAGUCGAUGGACAACAGGUUGAUAUUCCUGUACCACCUAUAUGACUGAUGGAGUGACGAAGGAGGCUAACAAGUGCCUGUUAUUGGAUUCAGGUCUAAGCACAAAGGCUUAUAUGUAGGGAAAUCCGCAUAUUGGUAGGCUGAAGUGUGAUGGCGAAAAAAGUAGCAAUACAAUUGAAGACUUGUGACGCCAAACUUCCAAGAAAAGCUUCUAGGGUUAAUCGUAUAGGUGCCCGUACCGAGAACCGCCACAGGUGGGCAAGGAGAGUAUCCUAAGGUGAGCGAGAGAACUAUGGUUAAGGAACUCGGCAAAAUAACCCCGUAACUUAGGGAGAAGGGGUGGUCUAGCGAUAGACCCGCAGUAAAGACGUCCAGGCAACUGUUUACCAAAAACACAGGUCUCUGCAAAGCCGUAAGGCGAAGUAUAGGGGCUGACACCUGCCCAGUGCUGGAAGGUUAAUAGGAGAGGUUAGUAUUUGACUUUGUCAACAUGAUACGAAGCUUUGAAUUGAAGCCCCAGUGAACGGCGGCCGUAACUAUAACGGUCCUAAGGUAGCGAAAUUCCUUGUCAGGUAAGUUCUGACCCGCACGAAAGGUGUAAUGAUCUGGAUACUGUCUCAACCAUAGGCUCGGUGAAAUUUUAAUACCUGUGAAAAUGCAGGUUACCCGCGACAGGACGGAAAGACCCCAUGGAGCUUUACUGUAGCUUGAUAUUGAAAUUUGAUAUUCUUUGUAGAGGAUAGGUGGUAGACUUUGAUACUAGGACGCCAGUUCUAGUGGAGUCGCCUUUGGAAUACCACCCUUGGAAUAUUAGAUUUCUAACCUAGGACCGUAAUCCGGUUCGGGGACAGUGUCUGGUGGGCAGUUUGACUGGGGCGGUCGCCUCCCAAAGAGUAACGGAGGCGCCCAAAGGUUCCCUCAGAAUGGUUGGAAAUCAUUCGCAGAGUGUAAAGGUAUAUAGGUAGCUUAACUGCGAGACUUACAAGUCAAGCAGAUACGAAAGUAGGGCUUAGUGAUCAGGCGAUUCAGUAUGGAAUGGUCGUCGCUUAACGGAUAAAAGUUACCCUGGGGAUAACAGGCUGAUACCACCCAAUAGUUCACAUAGACGGUGGUGAUUGGCACCUCGAUGUCGGCUCGUCACAUCCUGGAGGUGGAUUCGCUUCCAAGGGUUGGGCUGUUCGCCCAUUAAAGUGGCACGCGAGCUGGGUUCAGAACGUCGUGAGACAGUUCGGUCCCUAUCCGUCGUGGGCGUAGGAAAAUUGAGAGGAGUUGUUCUUAGUACGAGAGGACCAGAAUGAACAUACCUCUGGUGUAUCUGUUGUCACGCCAGUGGCAGUGCAGAGUAGCUAUGUAUGGAAAGGAUAAACGCUGAAAGCAUCUAAGCGUGAAGCCUCCCUCAAGAUGAGUUUUCCCAUUGUUUACAAGUAAGAUCCCAGAAAGACUAUCUGGUUGAUAGGUCAGAGGUGGAAGCAUAGUGAUAUGUUGAGCUGACUGAUACUAAUAGAUCGAGGAUUUAACCCU